This 429-nucleotide ribosomal RNA is filed under the name Pseudomonadota bacterium. Its description in RNAcentral is "Proteobacteria bacterium partial 16S ribosomal RNA". It matches the Rfam family "Bacterial small subunit ribosomal RNA", at positions 355 to 776 of the family's 1533-position model. Lineage: Bacteria; Pseudomonadati; Pseudomonadota. The record is from RNAcentral.
UGGGGAAUAUUGGACAAUGGGCGAAAGCCUGAUCCAGCCAUGCCGCGUGUGUGAAGAAGGUCUUCGGAUUGUAAAGCACUUUAAGUUGGGAGGAAGGGCAGUAAGCGAAUACCUUGCUGUUUUGACGUUACCGACAGAAUAAGCACCGGCUAACUCUGUGCCAGCAGCCGCGGUAAUACAGAGGGUGCAAGCGUUAAUCGGAAUUACUGGGCGUAAAGCGCGCGUAGGUGGUUCGUUAAGUUGAAUGUGAAAGCCCCGGGCUCAACCUGGGAACUGCAUCCAAAACGGGCGAGCUAGAGUAGGGCAGAGGGUGGUGGGAUUUCCUGUGUAGCGGUGAAAUGCGUAGAUAUAGGAAGGAACACCAGUGGCGAAGGCGACCACCUGGGGUCAUACUGACACUGAGGUGCGAAAGCGUGGGGAGCAAACAGG